GACGAACGCUGGCGGCGUGCUUAACACAUGCAAGUCGAACGGAAAGGCCCUGCUUUUGUGGGGUGCUCGAGUGGCGAACGGGUGAGUAACACGUGAGUAACCUGCCCUUGACUUUGGGAUAACUUCAGGAAACUGGGGCUAAUACCGGAUAGGAGCUCCUGCUGCAUGGUGGGGGUUGGAAAGUUUCGGCGGUUGGGGAUGGACUCGCGGCUUAUCAGCUUGUUGGUGGGGUAGUGGCUUACCAAGGCUUUGACGGGUAGCCGGCCUGAGAGGGUGACCGGCCACAUUGGGACUGAGAUACGGCCCAGACUCCUACGGGAGGCAGCAGUGGGGAAUAUUGGACAAUGGGCGCAAGCCUGAUCCAGCCAUGCCGCGUGUGUGAAGAAGGCCUUCGGGUUGUAAAGCACUUU
This 410-nucleotide ribosomal RNA is filed under the name uncultured bacterium. RNAcentral describes it as "bacterial SSU rRNA". It matches the Rfam family "Bacterial small subunit ribosomal RNA", at positions 28 to 436 of the family's 1533-position model. The record is from RNAcentral.